Nothobranchius furzeri (turquoise killifish) is the source of this 2113-nucleotide long non-coding RNA. NCBI's taxonomy places the organism in Eukaryota, Metazoa, Chordata, Actinopteri, Cyprinodontiformes, Nothobranchiidae. The record is from Ensembl.
AUGCGAGUCCAUCCUACCUUAAAAGGACAAAGAAACGCUGAAACACGCAUGAUUAAUGAUCGUCGUUCACCUUUACCUUGGAUCCACCUGCGGGAGCGGCAGACACGUGCAGAGGCUGCAGGAGAGACAAAGAGCGUUUGUGUCACAAGGUUAUUCUGGAAAAAGAGCCGCCCUCAUUCUGGAUUGUUUCGGUACAAAUAAAACACGGUGGUUGCUGCUGUUAAAGCCUCAGGAUUAAGGUUAAAACGUACCGUUAAUUAUUGAUGUUGUUUGUUUGAUGCUUGCUUCUUUUAAAACGUUUUCAGAGUAAAAACUUUUGAAUAUCAGGAAAACGACUAAACUUCCAUCAGUCUGAUUUAAAUAAACGACUUAACAAGUAUCUAUGGAUGCAGGUUUGCGCUUUAUUUAAUUUAUUAUUUUAUUAAUUAGAUAAACUGAAAUAUUUUCAUUAGUUUUCAAAUAAAUAAACGUAAAAUCUAUCAUCCGUCUAUCUAUCUAUCUAUCUAUCUAUCUAUCUAUCUAUCUAUCUAUCUAUCUAUCUAUCUAUCUAUCUAUCUAUCUAUCUAUCAUCUAUCUAUCUAUCUAUCUAUCUAUCUACCUACCUAUCUAUCUAUCUAUCUAUCUAUCUAUCUAUCUAUCAUGUUGUGACACUAUAAUUUAAUUCUUUAUGGCAUCUUGAAUAAAUGUUUCAGCGUUUAUAUAAAAUUUUAAAAUAAAAAUAUAUGUUUUUUAUUUUAACACACAGAUUUCUGAAAUUUGUUGUAAAAAUAUAAACAACAAAAACAAUAAAUCAUUUACAGUAAUACAACUAAUUAAUUGAUAUAAUGAAGCAACUCGAUUUUUGUUUAUUAAAUGUUUAUUAAUGUUUAUUAAAUGUUUAUUAAACAAAUGCUAAUUUUUUUAAUGCGAAUCACCAUACCUCAUUUUUAACCCAUCAGUGCUUUUAUUUGGAGGCCCUUAACCUCCUGCGGGUCCCCGAGGAGACCCCGGACCCCACCGUUCUCCCCUGCAGGAGCCCCAGAUGAAACCUCGGGGUCAAACGUCGGUCAGGUUGCAGAUUUUCACAUCCAAACUAAAAAAAAAAAAAAAAAAAAAACAGUUUACAGACCGGACAGGUCAAACAACAGACACACUCGAUCUACGGCGGAUUGUUUGACCAAAACACCCUCGGAACCAUCUUUAAAACAACAACUAGAACCAACCCACACAAGGCUGGAAAGUUGUUGUCCUGCGAGAGGACGUCCAGCUCCAGCUGAUGAUUCCCAUUAGGAGGGGGACAGAUGUUUAACCAUUAGAGCUCCCGAAGUUCAAUGUUACGUAAAACAAGUUCGUUUCUAAUUAAGGGAACAUUUUUUAUGUAUUUAUCAUUUAUUUAAAUCUGCCCAAAUUGUGGAAAAUAAUAAUAAUUUAAUUUAAAAAUUGAAAUAAAUCUACAAACAAAUUAAAUACAGAACAUUUAUAAACUGUAAACUUGUUUAUAAUUUAGCAUCUAGUUUUCAACCAUAAAAAAAUCUAAUUUAUAAUCCUUAAAAAUUUUAUGCUGAAUAUAAAAAAAUAAUUCAUCUUUAAAUAUUCAUUUUUGGGAGAAGAAUCCUAAUUAUUUAAGAUUUCUUUGAACAGUUUUAUAAUUUCAGUUUUAUUAUUACUUUGUUCGUUAUUGAUAACAAAACAACAACUACAACAAAAUCUUUGUGUUAAUUUAGAAGUUUUAGAAUUUUACUUUUAAAACUUUCAUUUAGAAACCAUAACUUUUGAAAUGUAAUUAAAGUUAAACAUUUUACUAUGAAUGAUUAAAACAGUUUUUCAACCUUAAAGAUUCAUUUGAAAUUCAUUAAAGCAUAAAGGUUUUAGCAGGAUCAACAGAAACAAUUAAAGAAACAAAAAAGAAGCAAAGAUCGUCACCUGAGUGUGAACUAUUUAUCUCAGAACACACACACACACACACACACACACACACACACACACACAUUUUCGUAUAAAAGGCCGGUUUUAAGAGUAAAGUUCUCAUAUUUGGAUUUCUUCUGUGAAUGUACUGUGUGUGUGUGUGUGUGUGUGUGUGUGUGUGUGUGUGUGUGUGUGUGUGUGUGUGUGUGUGUGUGUGUGUGUGUGUGUG